UGGGGAAUAUUGGACAAUGGGGGCAACCCUGAUCCAGCAAUGCCGCGUGUGUGAAGAAGGUCUUCGGAUUGUAAAGCACUUUCGACGGGGACGAUGAUGACGGUACCCGUAGAAGAAGCCCCGGCUAACUUCGUGCCAGCAGCCGCGGUAAUACGAAGGGGGCUAGCGUUGCUCGGAAUGACUGGGCGUAAAGGGCGUGUAGGCGGUUUACACAGUCAGAUGUGAAAUCCCCGGGCUUAACCUGGGAGCUGCAUUUGAUACGUGUAGACUAGAGUGUGAGAGAGGGUUGUGGAAUUCCCAGUGUAGAGGUGAAAUUCGUAGAUAUUGGGAAGAACACCGGUGGCGAAGGCGGCAACCUGGCUCAUGACUGACGCUGAGGCGCGAAAGCGUGGGGAGCAAACAGGAUUAGAUACCCUGGUAGUCCACGCUGUAAACGAUGUGUGCUAGAUGUUGGGUAACUUUGUUAUUCAGUGUCGCAGUUAACGCGUUAAGCACACCGCCUGGGGGAGUACGGGCCGCAAGGUUGA
RNAcentral lists this ribosomal RNA (527 nucleotides) under uncultured bacterium. RNAcentral describes it as "partial 16S ribosomal RNA". It matches the Rfam family "Bacterial small subunit ribosomal RNA", at positions 355 to 897 of the family's 1533-position model. The record is from RNAcentral.